Molecule: RNA transcript, 3490 nt
Organism: Carassius auratus (goldfish)
Lineage: Eukaryota; Metazoa; Chordata; Actinopteri; Cypriniformes; Cyprinidae
Gene name: natural killer cell receptor 2B4-like
Exons: 5
Source: RefSeq, a predicted model, not a curated record
AAAAUUACAUGAAGGUGUUAAGAUAAGAGAUGAGCUGCAAACCACAAGUUGAACAAAAUAAAUACAAUCAUGCAAGAAAAAAAAUCCUGCACUACAACACAGUUCCUGCUCAAAGUCUUCAUCCUGUUUGUGUCAGCGAAAGAGCUGAAUGUCCCUUGAUCUUCUUAAAGCUACUGUAAAGACGUCUCGAGGACUGAUCCCCACGCUGUGUUUAGGCUACUGUUCAUCUGCGCUUAUCUCUGAGGCGAUAGGGCUAGGAGGACCCCUAAAGGGCGGAGCGAUUUGGUCUGGAAGUAUGGAAACUGAAAUCAAGAAGUAGGCUAGAGUUUUCAAUACCGUUGCCUAUUUCUUUUUUCUUAACAGAAAAAAAUACCUCGUGCGUUUUUAAAAUGGAUGGAUGUGCUACCACAGUUUUCAGGAUAUAAUAUUGCAAUCGACGUAGGCCUACAGUCACACGCAAAUCUUAAGACAAUAGAUCUUAUUUUUUUAUUUUUAUUUUUUUAGCCCAUCUUAAAAAUUUAAAGCGAAAUCGAUACUAACGUAACUGUUUUAAUGUACUGAUUGCGCUAUAGUUUUUGUUGUAAGCGUAGGCUACUUUUAAUAAUCUGCUUCGUUUUUGUUUUGAAAAAAGCGGACGAGCAAGCUCGCUCUACUAAAUCAUGAGGAGAUUAUUCAUUGGAUAUGUCGGGAUAUGUGAAUAUGGUUUAUAAAUCUUUUUUCCUCUGUCUAUGGAUUUGGUUCUCAUAUGGUGUGUUUGGUGAUACAGAUGUAAUGCAGGCAUUAUCAGUGAUGGAGGGCGAUUCUGUCACUCUAAACACUGACGUUAAUUUACAGAAAGAUGAUCAGAUACUGUGGAUGUUUAAAGUUAACAACUCAUUCACCCGUAUUGCUGAUAGACAGAAGAUCUAUAUAGGUAACAGAACGGUGACGUUCAGAAACAGACUGCAGAUGGACAGCCAGACUGGAUCUAUGACCAUCAGAAACAUCAGAACUGAACACUCUGGACUUUAUAAACUACAAAUCAUCCGAGAUGACGUUACAUCCAAGAGUUUCUCUGUUGAUGUCUAUGGUCCUCUUCCCAUUCCUAUCAUCACCAGAGACGCUUCAAACUCUUCAUCAUCAUCAUCAUCUUCUGAACGCUCAUCAGCGUCCAGAUGUGCGCUGCUGUGUUCAGCGUUGAAUGUGAGUCGUGUGAAUCUCUCCUGGUACAAAGGAAACAGUUUAUUGUCCAGCAUCAGUGUGUCUGAUCUCAGCAUCAGUCUCUCUCUACCUCUGGAGGUGGAAUAUCAGGAUAAAAACAGCUACAGCUGUGUGCUCAACAAUCCCAUCAGCAACCAGACUCAACAUCUGGACAUCACUCAGCUCUGUCCCACAUCUACAGGACCCUUUCAGCAGUCACAGACAAUGGUAUUGUUAAUUAGUUUUGCGGUGGUGCUGGUCUUGGCAAUUGUGGGGGCGAUAUACUUCAACUGCAGGAGACGCAAACCAGCAGGAUCAGAAGGCAAGUAUUACCCUUUCCAUCGAAUAAAAUGAGCAUUCUGGGACAAAAUCGAGAUCUCAAAAUAUGUUUUUGAACACCAUUGCAGACUUAUUUGAACAAUGUGAUAUUAUCAUUAAAACAGUCCAGACUUGUGAGGAAGAGGUGCUUUAUGCCGAAACAACAUUUUGUGCACGCGGUGUUCACAGUACGAAACCAGAUGAAGAGCACCACGUCAUAUACUCGAGUGUUAAUGUGAAAUGACAUGAUCAGUGGUAUAAGCCUUUUUUUUUUUUUUUUUUUUUUUUUUUUUUUGCAACUGAUAUGAAACCAGCAUGUAAAAGUCAUUUAAGUAUUCACUUCUCUAGCUUCCACAGUCAUUUCAUCUCAUAGAAUGCUAACAAACACAUGAACAUUCUAUAUUUGUAUUAAUCAUUUUUCCGGAAUACUUGACUUUGAUUGGCCAGCAGCUAUGGAGCAGUCAAAUAUUUCUGAGUAAUCUCCACUCAUGUGGGUAACUCAGUAUAACGGACCAUUUCUCCGGAAAAUGCAAUAGACAUGUUUUAAUGGAUUAUUCCUAGUGUUUACAUUAGACCUUCAGUGUUUGGUGUCAGUUUAAUCUAACAUGCUGUAUCUUGUUCUGUGGGUAGAUGUUUACCUGUUAGGCAAGGCAUGUUCAUGCAAGCUCAGCUCUGUUACUGGAAUCUUUAUUUUAAAUCCUUCAUAAACACUUAAGUUUACAUAAAAGCCUUCAAUCUUUUUUUCUGCUAUCUGCUCUUUUAAAAAUGUACUUAUUCUGCUAUUAAUUGUGUACAAAAUCUAUAUUUAUGUACAUCAUUUUCUAUAAUUUUUGGAUCAGAAAAUGUAUUAUGCAUUUAUACUUUUGUAUUGAAAUGCCUAUUUUGUAUUAUUGUAAAUGAAAGUCAGUGUACGAUUCAUAUGAACAGUUUGAAUUUGUCUACACAUUUUGAUCAAAUGUUUUGUGUUCUCUUGGUUCUUUCCUGCAGCUCCGGAAUGAUUAGUUGGGUAACAUUUAAAUCAUUUUGAUUUGCUCACAGGGGGUUCACUGGAGUCACUGGAUCUAGUCUGACUGCUUCUGCCUUUUAGAUGAAUGGGAAUUUUAAUGGUUUACUCUCUUCAGUUAUUAUAUAUAUACUUCCUUUUUUUCAAACAGAUUAGAUCCUGAAUGUUUGACACCCUUUUUAAUCAAACCCUAACCGACAACUGUUAGUUGUCAGCUGUUAGUUGUUCAGCUUGUCUGACUGGACAUGUUUGUGUUACUAAUACUGGGACAUUUCCACUGUAUUUUAAAAUUUGCUCUAUGAGCUCAUCAGAAAAGUGAAGUAAUAGUCAGGGUUUUCUGUAAUGUGUCCCCGACUGAUUUUGACAUACUGUACUCUCACAGCUAAAUCAUAAUCACAAUGUAUUUUUUUCUAAGUUUCUAGCAAUGACCAUGUGUUUGUUGUUAAACCAGUGUUGCACCACUACAAAUAAUUUUGCCAAUUACUGACAUGUUCAGUCCAACUAAAAACAGAUCAAGUUUGUCAUGUUUUAAAGAUGUCAUUGUGGACUUACACAGUAAUCAUUUGACUAGAAGAAUCUUGCCUCUGUGCUAGAGUGGUAAAACGUGGUGAAUUCAUGCAAGUGACACUAGAGGGAGCCAGAGCUUUAAGCAAUAAGCUGCAUACUGAAAGCCAUUUGGUUCAGAACAACAGCCACGAACAGAAAGAACUACAAACAUGGUGGAUGUGAGUGAGACGCUCUGAAACGGAUUGCAUAUGGAUUCGUCUUCUCUCUAUAGCUCUCGCGAUACUUUGAUGUCAUACACUUAUGGUUUCAAAACAUUAUAAUAUUUACUACAGAAAUUUUACUACAUUUUACAUGGUAAGACAAAAUACAUUUCUCGAAAUUUUUAACACUCCAGUAAAGGAUACUACAACAUGGUCAGGGCAAAACAUAUACUAUUAAAACAUGCAAAUUCCUUAAAACGAAUAAAAAACAUCUUAAGAAGUA